GCCGGGAUAGCUCAGUCGGUAGAGCAGAGGACUGAAAAUCCUCGUGUCA
Molecule: transfer RNA, 49 nt
Filed under: Syzygiella autumnalis
Lineage: Eukaryota; Viridiplantae; Streptophyta; Jungermanniopsida; Jungermanniales; Adelanthaceae
Also listed under: 7 other names
Description: partial tRNA-Phe
Rfam family: tRNA
About the family: Transfer RNA (tRNA) molecules are approximately 80 nucleotides in length. Their secondary structure includes four short double-helical elements and three loops (D, anti-codon, and T loops). Further hydrogen bonds mediate the characteristic L-shaped molecular structure. tRNAs have two regions of fundamental functional importance: the anti-codon, which is responsible for specific mRNA codon recognition, and the 3' end, to which the tRNAs corresponding amino acid is attached (by aminoacyl-tRNA synthetases). tRNAs cope with the degeneracy of the genetic code in two manners: having more than one tRNA (with a specific anti-codon) for a particular amino acid; and 'wobble' base-pairing, i.e. permitting non-standard base-pairing at the 3rd anti-codon position.
Source: RNAcentral